RNAcentral lists this ribosomal RNA (253 nucleotides) under uncultured bacterium. RNAcentral's name for it is "partial 16S ribosomal RNA". It matches the Rfam family "Bacterial small subunit ribosomal RNA", at positions 524 to 776 of the family's 1533-position model. The record is from RNAcentral.
UACGUAGGGUGCGAGCGUUGUCCGGAAUUAUUGGGCGUAAAGGGCUCGUAGGCGGUUUGUCACGUCGGGAGUGAAGACUCGGGGCUUAACCCCGAGCCUGCUUCCGAUACGGGCUGACUAGAGGUAUGCAGGGGAGAACGGAAUUCCUGGUGUAGCGGUGAAAUGCGCAGAUAUCAGGAGGAACACCGGUGGCGAAGGCGGUUCUCUGGGCAUUACCUGACGCUGAGGAGCGAAAGUGUGGGGAGCGAACAGG